CAGCCGCCACGGGAAUACGAAGGGGGCUAGCGUUGUUCGGAUUUACUGGGCGUAAAGCGCACGUAGGCGGAUCGAUCAGUCAGGGGUGAAAUCCCAGAGCUCAACUCUGGAACUGCCUUUGAUACUGUCGAUCUGGAGUAUGGAAGAGGUGAGUGGAAUUCCGAGUGUAGAGGUGAAAUUCGUAGAUAUUCGGAGGAACACCAGUGGCGAAGGCGGCUCACUGGUCCAUUACUGACGCUGAGGUGCGAAAGCGUGGGGAGCAAACAGGAUUAGAUACCCCCGUAGUCCCUGUCUCUUAUAC
RNAcentral lists this ribosomal RNA (301 nucleotides) under uncultured bacterium. Its description in RNAcentral is "partial 16S ribosomal RNA". It matches the Rfam family "Bacterial small subunit ribosomal RNA", at positions 509 to 807 of the family's 1533-position model. The record is from RNAcentral.